GAUGAACGCUGGCGGCGUGCCUAAUACAUGCAAGUCGAGCGAACGGACGAGAAGCUUGCUUCUCUGAUGUUAGCGGCGGACGGGUGAGUAACACGUGGAUAACCUACCUAUAAGACUGGGAUAACUUCGGGAAACCGGAGCUAAUACCGGAUAAUAUUUUGAACCGCAUGGUUCAAAAGUGAAAGACGGUCUUGCUGUCACUUAUAGAUGGAUCCGCGCUGCAUUAGCUAGUUGGUAAGGUAACGGCUUACCAAGGCAACGAUGCAUAGCCGACCUGAGAGGGUGAUCGGCCACACUGGAACUGAGACACGGUCCAGGCUCCUACGGGAGGCAGCAGUAGGGAAUCUUCCGCAAUGGGCGAAAGCCUGACGGAGCAACGCCGCGUGAGUGAUGAAGGUCUUCGGAUCGUAAAACUCUGUUAUUAGGGAAGAACAUAUGUGUAAGUAACUGUGCACAUCUUAACGGUACCUAAUCAGAAAGCCACGGCUAACUACGUG
RNAcentral lists this ribosomal RNA (497 nucleotides) under uncultured bacterium. RNAcentral describes it as "partial 16S ribosomal RNA". It matches the Rfam family "Bacterial small subunit ribosomal RNA", at positions 28 to 507 of the family's 1533-position model. The record is from RNAcentral.